CCUACGGGGUGCAGCAGUGAGGAAUAUUGGUCAAUGGCCGAGAGGCUGAACCAGCCAAGUCGCGUGAGGGAAGACGGCCCUACGGGUUGUACACCUCUUUUGUCGGGGAGCAAAGCGAGUCACGUGUGACUCAUUGAGAGUCACCGAAGAAAAAGCAUCGGCUAACUCCGUGCCAGCAGCAGCGGUAAUACGGAGGAUGCGAGCGUUAUCCGGAUUUAGUGGGUUUAAAGGGUGCGCAGGCGGAGGUGCAAGUCAGCGGUCAAAUUGCGGGGCUCAACCCCGUACUGCCGUUGAAACUGCAUCCCUUGAGUGCGCGAGAAGUAUGCGGAAUGCGUGGUGUAGCGGUGAAAUGCAUAGAUAUCACGCAGAACUCCGAUUGCGAAGGCAGCAUACCGGCGCGCAACUGACGCUCAUGCACGAAAGCGUGGGUAUCGAACAGGAUUAGAUACCCCUGUAGUC
Molecule: ribosomal RNA, 459 nt
Filed under: uncultured bacterium
Lineage: Bacteria
Description: partial 16S ribosomal RNA
Rfam family: Bacterial small subunit ribosomal RNA
Source: RNAcentral